CAAUAGCGUAUAUUUAAGUUGUUGCAGUUAAAAAGCUCGUAGUUGGAUUUCGGAUGGGACUUGCCGGUCCGUCGUUUCGAUGUGCACUGGCCAGUCCUAUCUUGUUGUCGGGGACUAGCUCCUGGGCUUCACUGUCCGGGACUAGGAGCUGACGAGGUUACUUUGAGUAAAUUAGAGUGUUCAAAGCAAGCCUACGCUCUGAAUACAUUAGCAUGGAAUAACACGAUAGGACUCUGGCUUAUCUUGUUGGUCUGUGAGACCAGAGUAAUGAUUAAGAGGAACAGUCGGGGGCAUUCGUAUUCCAUUGUCAGAGGUGAAAUUCUUAGAUUUAUGGAAGACGAACAUCUGCGAAAGCAUUUGCCAAGGAUGUUUUCAUUGA
Molecule: ribosomal RNA, 379 nt
Filed under: uncultured eukaryote
Lineage: Eukaryota
Description: partial 18S ribosomal RNA
Rfam family: Eukaryotic small subunit ribosomal RNA
Source: RNAcentral